Molecule: ribosomal RNA, 435 nt
Filed under: uncultured archaeon
Lineage: Archaea
Description: bacterial SSU rRNA
Rfam family: Archaeal small subunit ribosomal RNA
Source: RNAcentral
GGACCUGACUGCUAUCGGAUUAACACUAAGCCAUGCGAGUUUUUGUAGUAAUACAAGGCAUACGGCUCAGUAACACGUAGUCAACCUACCCUAUGGACGAGGAUAAUCUCGGGAAACUGAGCAUAAUACUCGAUAGAUCAUAAUGCCUGGAAUGGUUUAUGGUUGAAAUGAUUCGUUCGCCAUAGGAUGGGACUGCGGCCUAUCAGCUUGUUGGUGAGGUAAUGGCCCACCAAGGCGAUUACAGGUACGGGCUCUGAGAGGAGAAGCCCGGAGAUGGGUACUGAGACAAGGACCCAGGCCCUAUGGGGCGCAGCAGGCGAGAAAACUUUGCAAUGUGCGAAAGCACGACAAGGUUAGUCCGAGUGAUUUCUGCUAAAGAGAUCUUUUGCAAGUUCUAAAACCACUAGUGAAUAAGGGGUGGGCAAGUUCUGGUGU